GCUGAUUCGUCUGUGGACACUGAGUUCAUCUGGAGAAGAUAAAAGUGAAGCACAGAGUGGGUGAGUGGCUCCUCAUGGCCUUUUUGGAAGCUGUGCUUGGAGAGGAGCAUUUUGGAUCCCAUCUGUGCACAAUGAGGACUGCGGACAGAUGCCCCAUCUUCACCCAGGCAAAGGGUGGCACAUCACC
Molecule: long non-coding RNA, 187 nt
Filed under: Cavia porcellus (domestic guinea pig)
Lineage: Eukaryota; Metazoa; Chordata; Mammalia; Rodentia; Caviidae
Description: lncRNA (ENSCPOG00000033315.1)
Source: RNAcentral